AACCAAAUUAGGGUUGAGGCGAGGGGAAGAGAGAGGCGAUUGGCAGACGAUUGACGGCGGAAGCGACGAUGUCGUCGGCGUCGCUCGGCUCAUCUGCUUCUCGCGGUGGAGGGAUUCGCCGGAGAGGCGGAGCAGCAAGGUCGCCGGUGCCCUAUCGGGAGGAGCCCAUGGAGUAUGAGCCGGUGAUUUGUUGCUCCCUGUGCAGGAAGAAAGCGCCGCGGUGGAUUUCCUAGAGUCCAGCGAACCCUGGGAGGAGGUACUAUGCGUGCGUUGAAGCUCAGCACAGCUUCAUUCAGUGGCAUGAUGUGCCUACAACUCUUUUUGUGCGUGGACUGCUGGGAGAUCUUCGAGACAGAGUGUGGAAGUUGGAGGCAGACAUUGAUGCACUGUUAACUGAAGGAGCUUCAGGAGCUGCUACUUUAACUGAUGGAGUGACGAGAGGCAACGAAAAAAAUGCAUCAGUUAGUGAGAAAUGUGUUAGCAGAGAGAUGUUGUUGUAUGGCAUUGUGUUAUUUCUGUCUGGUAUGGUAGUAGGGAUGAUUUUAGGCUGGUGAAUCAGGUAGUAAAUAAGUUUGAGGCAAUGUACUGAAUGUGGAGCAAUGUAAUGUUUUUGAGACAAGUUUGAAUGCAAUUCAGUUUGAAAAUAUUUUCAUGACA
This is a long non-coding RNA of Triticum dicoccoides, 657 nucleotides long. RefSeq lists it as uncharacterized. Lineage: Eukaryota; Viridiplantae; Streptophyta; Magnoliopsida; Poales; Poaceae. The record is from RefSeq and is a predicted model, not a curated record. The transcript is spliced from 2 exons.